RNAcentral lists this small nuclear RNA (165 nucleotides) under Canis lupus familiaris (dog). Its description in RNAcentral is "U4 spliceosomal RNA (ENSCAFG00000021839.3, ENSCAFG00030007904.1, ENSCAFG00805007484.1)". The stretch from base 1 to 132 matches the Rfam family "U4 spliceosomal RNA". Rfam says of the family: U4 small nuclear RNA (U4 snRNA) is a component of the major U2-dependent spliceosome. The structure of U4 snRNA from yeast and human has been reported. The record is from RNAcentral. Lineage: Eukaryota; Metazoa; Chordata; Mammalia; Carnivora; Canidae.
AGCUUUGUGCAGUGGCAGUAUUGUAGCCAAUGAGGUUUAUCUGAGGCACGAUUAUUGCUAAUUGAUUAAGGCACAGAUUAGUAAAGACAUAGCUCAUAGGGAAUUUCUUAAAUUCUUCUUUAUAUUCACAUACUUCAAAGUUAUCCUUUACUUAUUUUCAGAAGA